UAGGGAAUCUUCGGCAAUGGGGGGAACCCUGACCGAGCAACGCCGCGUGAGUGAAGAAGGUUUUCGGAUCGUAAAGCUCUGUUGUUAAGGAAGAACGAGUGUGAGAAUGGAAAGUUCAUGCUGUGACGGUACUUAACCAUAAAGGGACUGCUAACUACGUGCCAGCAGCCGCGGUAAUACGUAGGUCCCGAGCGUUGUCCGGAUUUAUUGGGCGUAAAGCGAGCGCAGGAGGUUAGAAAAGUCUGAAGUGAAAGGCAGUGGCUCAACCAUUGUAGGCUUUGGAAACUGUUUAACUUGAGUGCAGAAGGGGAGAGUGGAAUUCCAUGUGUAGCGGUGAAAUGCGUAGAUAUAUGGAGGAACACCGGUGGCGAAAGCGGCUCUCUGGUCUGUAACUGACGCUGAGGCUCGAAAGCGUGGGUAGCAAACAGG
Molecule: ribosomal RNA, 429 nt
Filed under: Bacteroidota bacterium
Lineage: Bacteria; Pseudomonadati; Bacteroidota
Description: Bacteroidetes bacterium partial 16S ribosomal RNA
Rfam family: Bacterial small subunit ribosomal RNA
Source: RNAcentral